AUCGUCCCCUGCGGGGCAGCAACAGCGGGGCUCCGGCGGCUGAGGGGGGCGCCUUCUGCUUGCGCGCUCUGCGUCCCUCUCCGUGGUCUGCCCUUCGCCCCGCGACCCCGGCCGAGGGUGGGAGCAGCGCGGGGUCGCAUCGGCCCGAGGCUAGCGGGGCUCGCCGUUCCGCCCGCAGCCAUGGAGGCCGGGCCGCCGGGCAGCGCCAGGCCGGCGGAGCCGGGUCCUUGCCUGAGUGGUCAGCGCGGCGCGGACCACACGGCUUCCGCCUCCCUGCAGAGCGUGGCCGGGACCGAGCCCGGGCGCCACCCGCAAGCCGUGGCAGCUGUGUUGCCUGCCGGGGGGUGCGGGGAGAGGAUGGGGGUCCCCACCCCGAAGCAAUUCUGCCCCAUCCUGGAGAGGCCGCUCAUCAGCUACACCCUGCAGGCCCUGGAGAGAGUAUGUUGGAUAAAGGACAUUGUUGUGGCAGUAACUGGAGAGAACAUGGAAGUAAUGAAAAGUAUUAUUCAGAAGUAUCAGCAUAAACGCAUCUCACUGGUCGAAGCUGGAGUGACCCGCCACAGGUCAAUUUUCAAUGGACUAAAAGCACUGGCAGAAGAUCAGAUCAACUCUAAACUCUCUAAGCCAGAAGUAGUGAUUAUCCAUGAUGCUGUGAGACCAUUUGUUGAGGAAGGUGUCCUUCUUAAAGUUGUCACAGCUGCUAAGGAACACGGGGCAGCAGGAGCCAUUCGACCUCUUGUAUCUACUGUCAUCAGUCCAUCUGCUGAUGGUUGCUUAGACUACUCGCUAGAACGUGCCAGACACAGAGCAAGUGAAAUGCCCCAAGCUUUUCUAUUUGAUGUGAUUUAUGAAGCAUAUCAGCAGUGUAGUGACUAUGACUUGGAAUUUGGAACUGAGUGUUUGCAAUUGGCCCUAAAAUACUGUUGCACUAAAGCCAAACUUGUAGAAGGAUCAACUGACCUCUGGAAGGUGACCUACAAACGAGAUCUCUAUGCGGCUGAAUCGAUUAUUAAGGAGAGAAUUUCCCAAGAGAUUUGUGUAGUUAUGGAUACAGAAGAAGAUAACAAACAUGUAGGUCAUCUUCUUGAAGAAGUGCUGAAAAGUGAAUUAAAUCAUGUAAAAGUCACAUCUGAGGCUCUGGGUCAUGCUGGCAGACAUCUUCAGCAAAUCAUCUUAGAUCAAUGCUACAAUUUUGUUUGUGUGAAUGUUACAACCUCUGAUUUUCAAGAAACCCAAAAGUUACUGAGCAUGCUUGAAGAGAGUAAUCUUUGCAUUUUAUAUCCUGUUGUUGUUGUUUCAGUUCAUUUUCUUGAUUUUAAAUUAGUACCUCCCAGUCAGAAAAUGGAAAACCUAAUGCAGAUUAGAGAAUUUGCAAAGGAAGUAAAAGAAAGAAAUAUUUUGUUAUAUGGCCUUCUCAUAUCUUACCCACAGCUACGAAGCUUGUGAUAAUUUGUUGUCAACCCGAGGAAAUCAAUACAUCCAGCAUAUCCAACUUUGAUAUCAAAUGUCUGCCUGAUGAUGUGCGCCAACUGCCACCCCAAUUCAAUCGCUUCCUUCCUUGGAGGAGGGUUUCAGGAACACACUUAAAAUCAUGAAAUAAGACAUAGACUUUACCUUGAUUCUUAUGGUCACCUCAGUAAAGGAAAGUGUUCACAGCAAGGAUAAGGUAAGAGGGCUUGUUGGUUUCCUGAGAAGAUAGUUAUACUGGAAACACUUCUAGUUAUUCACUUAAUUUUAAAAGCACUUAUAUAGAAACAGAGAAAGCACAUGAAUUUGGCAGGAAAAACAGAAGAGUAAAGCAAGAAAUGAGAACAAAGAAAGAGGUGUGGAAAAGAAGUCCUUGGGAGAAGCAAUCCAAGUGAGAUGCAAGUGUACUUUUACCAUUUGUUUUACCAUUUGUGCUCUCUAAAAUUUUAAUGAUUAGUCUUCAGUUCUGUUUAUCAGAUCAGUGUGUAAUUCUAUGGAUUUGAGAAUUACACACUGAUGUGAUAAACAGAACUGAAAUAUAGCAAGUAUAUUUAAAAUAUACCAAGUAUAAUAUAGCAAGCAUAUUUAAAAAUACUUGCUAAUGCCUCACUUCCUUCAAGUGUUUGUUCAAAUGUCACCUUAUCAAAGAAUAUAUAGAUAACUCAGAUUCUCUGACCUGCCCUCCUUCUCCAAUCCCUGCACUUGGGAAGCUCCCUUCCCCUACUCCACCUGUUCAUCUUUUCAUUGUACUUACUAUGUUCCCAUAAGCUUUGUAAUUUACUUGUUAUUUUCUUUGUUCCUGUCUGCUCCCUGCCACCCAUCCUGCCCCCCAACCCUUUUUGGACAGAAACUCCUUGAAGUCAAGCCCCUUAGACCUUGAUUAAUUCCACAAAUCUAGAGCAGUGUCUGGCAUAUCAUAGGUGCCCUUUUUUUUAACAAAUGCAUUUUCUUAACAAUUAAUAAUCUGUUGUGAUAUUUUCAGGAUUUUAAAAAUCAUUCAUCUUAUAUUUUAUAUGCAUGUGUAAUCCUUGCAUGUUGAGCUAAGAUUUUUAUGGCUUGUGUAUUCCCAUUUUAUCUCUUUGACGUAAAAUUAUAUAUGGUUAAAAAGGAUUUGUUGUUGCUUGACCUGAUGUUUGCCUCCUGAAAAAUCUCUCUAACAUAGUUUAGCAAGAUGCUAACAAGUCCCAAUGAAAUACAUCUGCUCUACUGUUGUCUCCAACUCCUGGUCUCUUCAAACUUUUAAAACUGUCGUAGAUUACUGGAAACACAACUGCAUUUGAAAUUAAUUCAAUAAAACAGUAGUUGCAGAUGCUUCACUAAGGGUUUAAAAACAAAAUUGUCAGCCAAAGAAAAUGGCUUGUAAAUGUCUAGCCAUCACUCCUGUGUUGCAGAAGUAAGUUUUCUGGCAAUGAGGGAAGUGGGGCUCCCUGCUUGCUGACACAUAAAUGACUAAACUGGAGAGAUUUCUUAGUCUGUCUGCUAAGCAGUGGUGUGGAUGUGUAACUGGAUGCUGGCAUUGCGGUGCAGUUGUAGGUGAAAAUCCUGAACGUGAUGAAAGACAAUCUUUGGUAAUAGAAUUGCAGGAAAGCAGGGGUUUGAAUCAACCAGGUACAAUCUUGCUGCUUUCUCUUUCUCAUUUGUAUAAGAUUUUUUCUAUAAUCUAGAAAGCAUAAGGGCAAUGACUUCCAAUUUAAUUGAUGGCUCAGUCUGACAUAAUUGAUUCCACAUGGUGGGUGACAAAUGACUCUUGGGUUAACCUCUCUUCCUAUUCAAGAAAUAGAUAAAUCUACUAGGAUUUUCUCUUUUCUCACAAAACUAUCACUUGGGCAUCAAUUUAUCUAUCUUUGAUGAAAUUUUAAGUAUUUCAUAAACUGGUGAAACCUCUUAUUCUUGGUUUUUGGGGGAAGGUGGAAAAUAAUAGAAUUUUCUUACAUUCUGUCAUUGAGUUGAUGGAUGGCUGAAGGAAAAGCAGCAUCCUAGGUUUUUCAGAGACAUGUCUAUGCUGAAGUCAGAUUAUAUGGUGACUUGCAGUGUAACUAUACUAGUAUCUCUUUACAUCUGUACACAAGAAAAAUUUCUGUUAAAUAACAAUAUCAGUUUGGAAUUGCUCAAGGGACUUAAUAGAACAGCUUGGAAUAUGGCCAUGGUAAUACACAUUCAGAAGGUCAAAAUUUCUCAGCUAGAGAAUGGUUCAGUAUGCUCAUUCAUCACUUUCUACUUUUGCUUAUAUGAAACAAAAACAUACAGCUACAUGCAAGUUGAACUGUAGCAUCCGCACAAUCAGACUUAAAAACAAAGUACUAAAUCCCAACCUACUGCUGUCAAUUCGCAGGAUUCAUCCUGAUAUAAUCUUUAUGAUACAGAUGUUUAUUUUCAAAACUCACACAAAGAAAUUAGCUGAAUGACAAACAGUGCUGAUAUCUUUUAUGUAUAUAACAAAUUUCAUCCCAAAAUUGCAGUGCACUAUAUAAUUAGCCAGUUAAUAAUUUUAUAUAAAAUCCUGAGUAAAAUAUUCUCAACUUCUCAAGAAUCAGAUGACUGAGAGAAGACAAAGUUCAAUUUUUCCUCAAUCUAUUGGAUAGGGUAGAUGAGAAAGAUGGCUUUUGCAGCAUUCCUGGAAAGUUCACAGUUUAGGAUUCACAGCCUCUGAUUCUUAGAUGAGGACAGCUGAUGCUAUACAUAUUACUGAAGCCAAGUGGUGGGAUGAUAUAUUCCAUCCAAGCUGUUUCCAUGAGUGAGUAGGCUCUGGCCUUUCUAGCUUGGUUUCUCAAUGCUGGAGAAGACAACACACAUUCUUUGGAAGUUGAGUCCAAACCAAAACUCCACUUCAUCUGCAGUUCUGCCUCUGGGUGGUCCUGGGUGACCCAGUUUAGCUUGGGGAAGCCCUGGGAAAUUUGAUAUGGCCACAUCCAGUUUAAGCGCUACUCCUGGGUGGUCUUCAGCAGUUAAUAGAGUUCGGUUGUGUGGCCAUUAUAAGAGCUUCAGAGAAGUCCAGGAAUCUGGGCUUGGACAAGGUCCAGACUAUUAAGUGAUGAUUACUCCUGAGCAUAUCAGUAUAAUAAACUGGAAGGACUAGAGUAGUUCUGGGAGGACUAGGUAGUUCAUGCCAAACACACCUCAGCAAUUCUAUGCUGCUGACAUGGUUGGCAUCUUCCAAUGCCCAAACUCAAGGCACCAUGUUGUCGGAUUGAACAAUAACUGGGCUGCCUCAAGGCAAGGGUUCAGAACUUUCCAGGCAUUGCUUUACGGCAAGGAAGACACAGAGAAGUUUGCUUUGAUAAAUUUAAGUCCUGUAAAUUUGCUAAAUAAUACCAACCCUUAAUUAGAUAGAUAGAUAUGAAUAUAUAUAUAUAGAUAGAUAGAUAAAGGGGAACUGAGUUGAGUUGAUAAGAAUAUCAACCCUUAAUCAUAUAUAUAUUGACAAAGGGGAACUGAGGCUUAGUCAAUCCAAAAUCAUUUGUAUUUCGCUAUAGAAAAUGGUAUAGUAUAGUGAAAACAACAUAUGCUUUGGAGACAGCCACUCCUGGGUUCUAAAGUCCACUCCACUGUUUAUUGUCAGAGAAACUGGCUGAGAGAUGUGGAACAUUAUCCCAAAAGACAGUCAUGCAGGCCGGGCGCUGUGGCUCAUGCCUGUAAUCCCAGCAUCUUGGGAGGCUGAGGCAGGUGGAUCACCUGAGGAGUUCAAGACCAGCCUGACCAACAUGGCGAAAACCCGUCUCUACU
Pan troglodytes (chimpanzee) is the source of this 5190-nucleotide RNA transcript. It is a transcript of the gene named CDP-L-ribitol pyrophosphorylase A, with no coding region annotated. NCBI's taxonomy places the organism in Eukaryota, Metazoa, Chordata, Mammalia, Primates, Hominidae. The transcript has 11 exons. The record is from RefSeq and is a predicted model, not a curated record.